Molecule: long non-coding RNA, 221 nt
Organism: Aricia agestis (brown argus)
Lineage: Eukaryota; Metazoa; Arthropoda; Insecta; Lepidoptera; Lycaenidae
Exons: 3
Source: RefSeq, a predicted model, not a curated record
AUUUUAUAAAGUGUUUUUCAGUAGAUAUAACUAUUGUUUUAGUGUUGAUGGAUCACCAUGGUCUCCAAAACUCGACGACAAAACUUGCAGUGAUAGUUUCAUAGAAUAUUUCAUUUAAAUCCAAAGUAUCAGGUGGAAGAAACAGUGACUCACAAAUGACGAUAAACCAGAUACCACAUCUGGCUUAACUGAUCUUUUAGAAGCUGGAGAUAGAGUUUCGA